RNAcentral lists this ribosomal RNA (484 nucleotides) under uncultured bacterium. RNAcentral's name for it is "partial 16S ribosomal RNA". It matches the Rfam family "Bacterial small subunit ribosomal RNA", at positions 30 to 507 of the family's 1533-position model. The record is from RNAcentral.
AUUGAACGCUGGCGGCAGGCCUAACACAUGCCAGUCGAGCGGAUGAAGGGAGCUUGCUCCUGGAUUCAGCGGCGGACGGGUGAGUAAUGCCUAGGAAUCUGCCUGGUAGUGGGGGAUAACGUCCGGAAACGGGCGCUAAUACCGCAUACGUCCUGAGGGAGAAAGUGGGGGAUCUUCGGACCUCACGCUAUCAGAUGAGCCUAGGUCGGAUUAGCUAGUUGGUGGGGUAAAGGCCUACCAAGGCGACGAUCCGUAACUGGUCUGAGAGGAUGAUCAGUCACACUGGAACUGAGACACGUUCCAGACUCCUACGGGAGGAAGCAGUGGGGAAUAUUGGACAAUGGGCGAAAGCCUGAUCCAGCCAUGCCGCGUGUGUGAAGAAGGUCUUCGGAUUGUAAAGCACUUUAAGUUGGGAGGAAGGGCAGUAAGUUAAUACCUUGCUGUUUUGACGUUACCAACAGAAUAAGCACCGGCUAACUUCGUG